AGGACGAACGCUGGCGGCGUGCUUAACACAUGCAAGUCGAGCGGUAAGGCCCUUUCGGGGGUACACGAGCGGCGAACGGGUGAGUAACACGUGGGUGACCUGCCCUUAGCUCUGGGAUAAGCCUGGGAAACUGGGUCUAAUACCGGAUAUGACCUCGCGAUGCAUGUCGUGGGGUGGAAAGCCUUGUGCGGCUAGGGAUGGGCCCGCGGCCUAUCAGCUUGUUGGUGGGGUGAUGGCCUACCAAGGCGACGACGGGUAGCCGGCCUGAGAGGGCGACCGGCCACACUGGGACUGAGACACGGCCCAGACUCCUACGGGAGGCAGCAGUGGGGAAUCUUGCGCAAUGGGCGAAAGCCUGACGCAGCGACGCCGCGUGAGGGAUGACGGCCUUCGGGUUGUAACCUCUUUCAGCCCUGACGAAGCGAAAGUGACGGUAGGGCGAGAAGAAGCACCGGCCAACUACGUGCCAGCAGCCGCGGUAA
Molecule: ribosomal RNA, 482 nt
Filed under: uncultured bacterium
Lineage: Bacteria
Description: SSU rRNA
Rfam family: Bacterial small subunit ribosomal RNA
Source: RNAcentral